RNAcentral lists this long non-coding RNA (2675 nucleotides) under Gallus gallus (chicken). Its description in RNAcentral is "lncRNA (ENSGALG00010005834.1)". The record is from RNAcentral. Lineage: Eukaryota; Metazoa; Chordata; Aves; Galliformes; Phasianidae.
UGUACAUAAAGCAUUCUCUCAGCUGCCAGUAUGGAGCAAGCCUGACUUUCUACAGUUAUGGCACUUCAACCUUUGUUGUCUUCAUAUUUGGGACUGAAGGCUGUCUUGUGACAUACAGUAUGAGUUUAUAGACUGGGUAUUAAACAAGGAACCACUGAAAAACAGUAAAUUUAAAACCAUCAAAAAGCUUCAAGAUUCUUCUUGGAUGAGAUCCUUGUUAUCUUGGAUGUGUAAAUCCUACUGCAACUCAGUGACAGUCAAACUUACUUGUUCGCACCUUCUUUAAAGCUAUGGAAAACUUUGCUUGCUACAGAAAUUACGAAGUUAAAUAUACCUUCAGAUUUCUGUGGAUAUAAACCAUUUCUCCCUGAAUUUUGUUGGCCAGAUUGAAUUUCUCUUUUUUUUUAGGGAAAUAUGCAUCAUUUGGUAUUAACUUAUUAGGUGGUGGUACUUGGUAAGUAAAUGUAUUUUUAAAAUUUUACAGAAUAUUUCUUUCAAAAUAGCUGUAAGAUAUUGAAAUAACUAUUUUAUAACACCUCCUAUCAUGAUUGAAUGGAACAAAAUAAUGUCUGAUAUUGUCUAUCUGAGUAACUUCAUCCUUCUUCCAAAUUUGCUGAAUGAUCAUUUACUGUUUCCCAUUUCAGAUGAUCGAACAUUUCAUUGAUGAAGCUCAUAAAAAACUUAUUCAAAACCAUACUGAAAUUCAAUGACAUAUCUGAAAAUUAAAUGUUUUUUGUGCACGGACCAACCAUAGGUUAUAUCAGCAAGAUCCUUAUGUGAUCAAUUAGUGCUCCAAAGACAAACCUCUCUCCAGGAGUAAAAUAUGAGCCCCAGUCCUGGAGGGGAUUAACCCUCAGUUCGAGAAUAGUUAUUCAUUCCUGUAAUUGAAUACAAAAGACAUAGGGAUUGAUUUUCACCUAUACCCAAAUUCAUGGCUCCUGGGAGGGUAUGAGCUGCUGACAAAUAAUUUCAGCUUCAGCCAUUGAUUAUGCUUCUAUAGUGAACAUUACAUAUACAGUAAGGUUGAUAUAAUAUAUAUUGCUGGAGUAAUAUAAUAUAAGUACUCCCCAUUUCUUAACCUAUCUUUCACUACCCUUAAGCUGUGCCGUGCACAGGAGAUGUAGAAUUCGGCUUCCUAGGAAGGAAAUGGCCAUGAAGCAGAAAAAUGAAUUCACCCUCAUUGUAUUGUAGUGAUGUGGUGAAGAUAAUCACUGCAGCUUUAUUCCAUUUAUUUUGAAAGAGAAAGCCUUUGCCUUUUCAAACUGCCUUGACCAUAUCACCACUCAUCUAUUUGCAAUGAAAAUCUGACAUCAGAGUACAGAAUUAUAGCUGGAGAAAUUGUCUUCUCAUUUCAUAUUUACCUUGUUUCCUCUCCUGAGUCACUGGAAAUGCAGCGACCUAGGUCCGUGCUUUUACACUUUUUUUUACUAUAUAUACACACGUAGAUAAAAAAAUUAGUGUGUGUGUACUGCCAAACUCUUCAGCUCACUACUCAUCUUCCCAGGUGUCUUCACACACCGUAAUUUCUGGUGUUUAAAAUUGGUAGACUGCAAAAAGUAGCACUCCUGCGUUCCCUCUCAUUCAUAUUGUGAAUAUUCAGUUCUCCAAGAAUUUUGCUGCUGGUGUCUGACCAGCCAAGCCCAUAUCAGAAUCGGCCACAGUCUAAUCAUAGUUUUUACCAAUUAAAACUUGUGUGCUAUAAUUUGUUUUUGUUUGUUUGUUUGUUUGUUUUGAUAACCUAAAGCAUAUUCUACUGUUUGCUGUUAAAAUAAAAUCCUUUCUGUUUACCUCCUCAUGGCUCACUGAAAAAAAUAUAUGCUUACAAUUGCAGCUUUCAAAAUGUUUUUUAUUUCUUCAGAUUUCUACUACAAAGCUUCAAUGUAAUCAAUAAUUCUAACUAGCUAUCUGACAGAGUACUUAACUUUAUUUUUCCUAAUAAAAACAAAUAGUUGGAGAAGAAUGUGUCCAAAGCCAUUUUUUUCCAUUCCUUUCUCAUGGCUUGCCUCUUGUCUUCUGUAUAAGGAAUUUUAGCAUUUCAAAUUUUAAGCUGAAGAUAAAUCCUUCUUUUUGAAGAAGUGUUUCUCACCAAGAGAGCCUUUUUUUUUUUUAAAGUAAGGAUAGCAAAUCCAGCCUGAUAGAACAAACACCUGAAGACAUUUUCUGUACAAUAAUAUCUCUUUAACAGAAUUAAAAUUCUAGAGAUUUAAUUCUUUGCAGACUUAACUCAACUGAAGGAAUAAGAAAUGCUGUGAUAAAACAAUAUGAUUACUUCAGUCUCCAUGUAGUAUAAAGUACGAUUCUACAGGAUUUCUUCAGUAGCCCAUGUCCAUAGUGAUCUUAAUUUUUGCUUUGUCAGAAGAGCUCUAUGAUAGGUUAAUUCUUCAGAAAUACUUAUCGUCCAUUACAUCAGAUUUCAUUUAUUUCUCCACUAUGAAAUGCAAUUUUUGGAAUUAUUAUUCUUUUUAUUAUUGUUGCUAUUACAGAACUUCCAGUGUUGGACAAAUUUACUGCUGGUACCUUCCUGUUUUCAUCCCUUUUCUUCCAAAUCCAGUGCCUAACCAAUUGAUUGUUUACUUGGAUAAACAAUUUGUUUUCCCUAAUGAAAAAAGAUAAGACUUCAUUGCCUAUUUUGUGUGGAACUGGGGCUCCUCUAGCUUCUGCAUUUUUUCCUAUUA